This 358-nucleotide transfer RNA is filed under the name uncultured Microcystis sp. Its description in RNAcentral is "partial 16S-23S ribosomal RNA intergenic spacer". The stretch from base 134 to 207 matches the Rfam family "tRNA". Lineage: Bacteria; Bacillati; Cyanobacteriota; Cyanophyceae; Chroococcales; Microcystaceae. The record is from RNAcentral.
AAAGGGAGACCUAAUUCAGGUAUGGGACGAAAAAAAAGUAGUCCCUACCAAGAAUCAAUCCCAAAAGGUCGGAACGAGGCAUGAGGCUUUCAAACUAGGUUCUGGGUUCAUAAAAGACCUGAAUCAGGAACAAGGGCUAUUAGCUCAGGUGGUUAGAGCGCACCCCUGAUAAGGGUGAGGUCCCUGGUUCGAGUCCAGGAUGGCCCACCUGCACAGGUGGCAAAAACAAGAGAAGCGAGGAAUCAGCACCUUAUCUUAUUUAUAUAUAAGAGAGAAUGCUGGCUCUGAGUACAGAGUCCAGAGGAACCUUGAAAACUGCAUAGAGCUAGGUGAAAAAGCCAAAAAAGAAGACCGCAAG